CAAUGAGAAGCCCUCAGCAUGUAAAAUCCAUUACAUAACUGUGGAUAGAAAGAUAAAAAGUCUCGUUUUAGUUUAUUUAUUGACCUCGGCUAUGCCUCGGAUCAACAAAAUUCACACUUAAACUCUACUUCUCAUCCAUAUUUACUCUAGUUAUAUAAAAUACUAUU
Molecule: long non-coding RNA, 167 nt
Organism: Bradysia coprophila
Lineage: Eukaryota; Metazoa; Arthropoda; Insecta; Diptera; Sciaridae
Source: RefSeq, a predicted model, not a curated record